UCCCACGUGGCUCAGUUGGUAGAGCAUGGUGUUUGCAACGCCAGGGUUGUGGGUUCGAUUCCCACGGGGGAC
This 72-nucleotide transfer RNA is filed under the name Salmo salar (Atlantic salmon). It matches the Rfam family "tRNA". From Rfam's summary of the family: Transfer RNA (tRNA) molecules are approximately 80 nucleotides in length. Their secondary structure includes four short double-helical elements and three loops (D, anti-codon, and T loops). Further hydrogen bonds mediate the characteristic L-shaped molecular structure. tRNAs have two regions of fundamental functional importance: the anti-codon, which is responsible for specific mRNA codon recognition, and the 3' end, to which the tRNAs corresponding amino acid is attached (by aminoacyl-tRNA synthetases). tRNAs cope with the degeneracy of the genetic code in two manners: having more than one tRNA (with a specific anti-codon) for a particular amino acid; and 'wobble' base-pairing, i.e. permitting non-standard base-pairing at the 3rd anti-codon position. Lineage: Eukaryota; Metazoa; Chordata; Actinopteri; Salmoniformes; Salmonidae. The record is from Rfam by way of RNAcentral.